RNAcentral lists this transfer RNA (84 nucleotides) under Chloroflexota bacterium. RNAcentral describes it as "tRNA-Leu". It matches the Rfam family "tRNA". Rfam says of the family: Transfer RNA (tRNA) molecules are approximately 80 nucleotides in length. Their secondary structure includes four short double-helical elements and three loops (D, anti-codon, and T loops). Lineage: Bacteria; Bacillati; Chloroflexota. The record is from RNAcentral.
GCCGGGGUGGCGGAAUGGUAGACGCGCGCGUCUCAAAAACGCGUGGGGCGACCCGUGCGGGUUCGAGUCCCGCCCUCGGCACCA